Long non-coding RNA from Rhinichthys klamathensis goyatoka, 650 nucleotides. RefSeq lists it as uncharacterized. The transcript is spliced from 3 exons. Lineage: Eukaryota; Metazoa; Chordata; Actinopteri; Cypriniformes; Leuciscidae. The record is from RefSeq and is a predicted model, not a curated record.
UCAUGGAGAGCGGAUACAUGGGUGGAGUCGCCAGUAUGCAGAUGUAUGUGAUUUACUGCUUUAUCAUGAUACAAAUAAAAGAUGAGGUGUAGUGGCUUGACUUUAGGACCAGAACUGCCCAACAACCAGUGUUUUGGGAAGAAAAUAAUCAAGAAGCAGAAGGGUCCAUGUUUGAGUGAGUAUCGGAGCCGGGGAACAGGCUGGAUCCGUGUCUCCGCUCAGCAACCUACACCCUUGAGUAAUGAAGGCCAUCUGCUUCCAAAGAGCUCCGUCAGCAAAACAGAGUCAGCCGAAAAGAUUUCAAUUAUCAAUAUACCAUUUAAUACAUCGCCCGCAGGCCAAACAGUCUGGCGUGCCGACAGCGCGAGAUGGAGGAUGUUAUUCCUCAGCUACAUGGGUGGAUUCUGCAACGCGGCAAAUCAGGGUUCAGAGCUGUCUCGCAUCUAUCAUGCAAUGGAUAAAUGACCAUGUCUGAGGAGAAGCAAACAACCCUGCGCCUUAGCAGACCGGUUAGUGCAACACUGUUUACUCACAACAAACCAAGCCGUUUUUGAUCAUGACAAGGCAGAACACGGUAGAUUACAGAGACUUGGAUGUGAACACUGAAAGUAGAGUUUUAUAUGUAAAGUAAAACCAGUUAGAGGCUCUAU